AGGUGGUGAGCAAAGUACACUGGCAAAAGUACAGAGAUUGUGCUUGGAGACUGGGAUUAGGAGUACAUCGACUCCUAAAACUGUGAGUGAACUUAUUAUCGUCUUAAUUAUCUAGAGUAGUUUUAUUCAAUUGUGUGAUUUUAUGAAAAAUGGGUUUAAAUGGUAAAUUACUAUGUUUUAAGAGAAAUUACGAUUUUAUAAAAUGAUUUUAUAAAUUUUCUGAAAAAAUCGAAUACUGGUUUUGAAAAUAGAGUAAUUGGAGACUGCCUGCUUGUGUUGCAAAUUUAUGAUUUUGAAUUGAAUGGCUUAUGACAAUAAAUGAGCAUGAAUGGCUAAACUAAUUUUGGUGUUAGAAUUAUUUAUACUGUGUAUUCAGCCUUGAGAAGCUAGGUUGCGAUAAAUUACCAUGUCAUGCUAGAAUGAAUUUUAUUGAUUGGUGGAUUAUAUAUUAAUUAUUCACUACAGAGGGGGUUCCGUGGACCAGCCUAUUAGAGGGGCACGGUAAACUCCAGUAUAUUCUUACCCCGAACGGAGAGGCGCGUAGGGUAUCUCCUGGGGUAAAGCUUAGGGUUCACUUCACGCUAAACUACCACGUGAAGGGGAACUCAGCCAA
RNAcentral lists this long non-coding RNA (613 nucleotides) under Theobroma cacao (cacao). RNAcentral describes it as "long non-coding RNA (TCAC_LNC003883)". The record is from RNAcentral. Lineage: Eukaryota; Viridiplantae; Streptophyta; Magnoliopsida; Malvales; Malvaceae.